Long non-coding RNA from Salvia miltiorrhiza (redroot sage), 1546 nucleotides. RefSeq lists it as uncharacterized. The transcript is spliced from 3 exons. Lineage: Eukaryota; Viridiplantae; Streptophyta; Magnoliopsida; Lamiales; Lamiaceae. The record is from RefSeq and is a predicted model, not a curated record.
UGUUCGGUUUGGGCUGUGACGUGUCGCACGCACGCACACUUAUUAAUUUAUUAGUAUAAUAUACUAAUACUAUGAUGUUUGCCAUUGCCGUCUUUGUUUCGAAUCUUCCUGCACAGUGAAAGAUUCAUCAAUUUUCUUUUUCCAAACUUAUUUUAAAUGAAUUUUAUUCUAAAUAAUUAGUCACCAUUUUUUGGGUUUUCGUUUGUUGCUUACAACUUAUGGUUGAUGAUGCUUUGCAAUCAAAAAAUGCCAUUGAAUUUCUAUUUUCGAGCCCAACUGGCUCGAAAGGUUAGCCCGAACCUGAAAGUUUAGGUUAGGGUCGAGAAUUGCAUGCCCAAAAAAAUUACAAUUUGAAUGACCCGUAACCGAAUAGCCUGACAACCCAGAAGCGAGCUGGCCCGAUUGACAUCUAGUAUAGUAUGGAAAUUAUCCUUUGGCAACUUCUAAACACUAAGCAUCUCUCCAGGGGUGGCAACAUAGUUUUGAUUGAACUUGACAGCUGUAACAUAAAAUUGUUGGAUAUGCGCUGGAAUUUAUCAAGCUAAAGUCACAAUCAGGUAAGCCGAAUAAAAUGUGUAAAGAAAUUUAGACAUGUUUAGAAAUUGGGUUGUUGCCAUGACCUGAUUGGUGAUAAGGCAUGGGAAUAUAUUUCUUUUUUUACAUUCUGGUAUUCAAUUUAUUUAAGAAUAGAAACUUACAUAAACUUAGUAAUCCUGAGUUAAUGUAUGUAUACAUAUUUUCUAUGUUCAUUUAUAAUAUAUAUACCUUUAUGCAAAUCACAUAGAAUUAGUCUAAUAUUCGAAAUAUGCAAUCUUUCAAUAAUUUAUUAUCGUAUCAUGUGGGUCGUGGACCAGCAUCCGUCUUUGUGUGUAACACAAGUCGACCCCGUGGCGUUGACCCCUACAGUUAAGGGAAUAAAAGUAGUCCUUCACUAACAACAAUUGUUUUUGGUGUAGCAGGAAGCGCUUGAGGUCUUAAGAAAAGAGUAUCUGAGUCACUUUAACUAUUUUUAGCGAUCAAAGUAGACACGGAAACUUUUUUUGGUCUCUUCUAGUCCUCUACACCAACAAAAAUGGUAGUCAUGCCCUAAUGUGAAUAGAAUAUUAUGCCAUUUCCUGACAUAUAGUCAUAAACUCAUACAUGUUCUCUUCACGCACAUUGUCGAAUCUUUUUUAUUCACUAGUUCACAUUUUUUUUGCACAUCUACGGAGACCCAUCGACUUAGGGUUUAAAAGUCUGUACCGUGAGUUGUCUCUCUCCAUCGUUCUCAUUUAUCGCCGACUCUCACCGCACUCUUCAUCCAUGCACUGGCCAAAUAACCAUCGACCUUUGCAGAUAAUUUUUUAAAUAUCUCCGAACUUUUUUAUCUGCUGAAUUUGUUUCGCUGUACGGUUUUUUUCAACACAAUUUUCUUCAUACUUUAGGUAACAUAAAGAUAAUAUUUUCUGUUGUGGUAUUUCAAUGUUCUAUUUGUUCAAGGACCUUGACUUUGGUUAAGGUUCAAAUAUGUAAACACGACCACCAGGAAAAAGCGAUUUUUUAACUC